GAUGACGCUGGCGGCAGGCCUACACAUGCAAGUCGAGCGGUAACAUUUCUAGCUUGCUAGAAGAUGACGAGCGGCGGACGGGUGAGUAAUGCUUGGGAACAUGCCUUGAGGUGGGGGACAACCAUUGGAAACGAUGGCUAAUACCGCAUAAUGUCUACGGACCAAAGGGGGCUUCGGCUCUCGCCUUUAGAUUGGCCCAAGUGGGAUUAGCUAGUUGGUGAGGUAAAGGCUCACCAAGGCGACGAUCCCUAGCUGGUUUGAGAGGAUGAUCAGCCACACUGGAACUGAGACACGGUCCAGACUCCUACGGGAGGCAGCAGUGGGGAAUAUUGCACAAUGGGCGCAAGCCUGAUGCAGCCAUGCCGCGUGUGUGAAGAAGGCCUUCGGGUUGUAAAGCACUUUCAGUCAGGAGGAAAGGUUAGUAGUUAAUACCUGCUAGCUGUGACGUUACUGACAGAAGAAGCACCGGCUAACUCCGUGCCAGCAGCCGCGGUAAUACGGAGGGGUGCGAGCGUUAAUCGGAAUUACUGGGCGUAAAGCGUACGCAGGCGGUUUGUUAAGCGAGAUGUGAAAGCCCCGGGCUUAACCUGGGAACUGCAUUUCGAACUGGCAAACUAAAGUGUGAUAGGGGUGGUAGAAUUUC
Molecule: ribosomal RNA, 643 nt
Filed under: Pseudoalteromonas sp. S18(2010)
Lineage: Bacteria; Pseudomonadati; Pseudomonadota; Gammaproteobacteria; Alteromonadales; Pseudoalteromonadaceae
Description: bacterial SSU rRNA
Rfam family: Bacterial small subunit ribosomal RNA
Source: RNAcentral